This 955-nucleotide ribosomal RNA is filed under the name uncultured delta proteobacterium. RNAcentral describes it as "bacterial SSU rRNA". It matches the Rfam family "Bacterial small subunit ribosomal RNA", at positions 8 to 935 of the family's 1533-position model. The record is from RNAcentral. Lineage: Bacteria; Deltaproteobacteria.
AGAGUUUGAUCAUGGCUCAGAGCGAACGUUAGCGGCGGGCGUAACACAUGCAAGUCGAACGAGAACGCUCCCUUCGGGGAGUUAGUAAAGUGGCGCACGGGUGAGUAACACGUGGGUAAUCUACCCUUUGGUGGGGGACAACAGCUCGAAAGGGCUGCUAAUACCUCAUGAGUCGGUGACGUCCUCGGAUGUUACCGGGAAAGGUGGCCUCUCCAUGGAAGCUAUCGCCGAAGGAUGAGCCCGCGGCCCAUCAGCUAGAUGGUGAGGUAACGGCUCACCAUGGCUAAGACGGGUAGCUGGUCUGAGAGGAUGAUCAGCCACACUGGGACUGAGACACGGCCCAGACUCCUACGGGAGGCAGCAGUGGGGAAUAUUGGACAAUGGGCGAAAGCCUGAUCCAGCCACGCCGCGUGUGUGAUGAAGGCCUUCGGGUCGUAAAGCACUGUGGAGGGGGAUGAACAAUCGGAGGGAACAAUACCCCUCCGGACUGACAUUACCCCUUUAGCAAGCACCGGCUAACUCCGUGCCAGCAGCCGCGGUAAUACGGAGGGUGCAAACGUUGCUCGGAAUCAUUGGGCGUAAAGCGCGUGUAGGCGGCGCGUUAAGUCGAGUGUGAAAGCCCUGGGCUUAACCCAGGAAGUGCGCUCGAUACUGGCGUGCUAGAGUACGGGAGAGGGUAGCGGAAUUCCCGGUGUAGAGGUGAAAUUCGUAGAUAUCGGGAGGAACACCAGUGGCGAAGGCGGCUACCUGGACCGAUACUGACGCUGAGACGCGAAAGCGUGGGUAGCAAACAGGAUUAGAUACCCUGGUAGUCCACGCCGUAAACGAUGAGUGCUAGGUGUCGCGGGUAUUGACCCCUGCGGUGCCGUAGUUAACGCAUUAAGCACUCCGCCUGGGGAGUACGGCCGCAAGGCUAAAACUCAAAGGAAUUGACGGGGGCCCGCACAAGCGGUGG